RNAcentral lists this ribosomal RNA (425 nucleotides) under uncultured bacterium. RNAcentral describes it as "partial 16S ribosomal RNA". It matches the Rfam family "Bacterial small subunit ribosomal RNA", at positions 354 to 796 of the family's 1533-position model. The record is from RNAcentral.
GUGGGGAAUCUUGCGCAAUGGGCGAAAGCCUGACGCAGCCAUGCCGCGUGAAUGAUGAAGGUCUUAGGAUUGUAAAAUUCUUUCACCGGGGACGAUAAUGACGGUACCCGGAGAAGAAGCUCCGGCUAACUUCGUGCCAGCAGCCGCGGUAAUACGAAGGGGGCUAGCGUUGCUCGGAAUUACUGGGCGUAAAGGGCGCGUAGGCGGACAGCUUAGUCAGAGGUGAAAGCCCAGGGCUCAACCUUGAAAUUGCCUUUGAUACUGGCUGUCUUGAGUUUGGGAGAGGUGAGUGGAACUCCGAGUGUAGAGGUGAAAUUCGUAGAUAUUCGGAAGAACACCAGUGGCGAAGGCGACUCACUGGCCCAAUACUGACGCUGAGGCGCGAAAGCGUGGGGAGCAAACAGGAUUAGAAACCCGGGUAGUCC